GACCCGCUUUCAAAUAUUAUCAGGCUAACGGCAGCACGGAGCUUGCUCUGGUGGCGAGUGGCGAACGGGUGAGUAAUAUAUCGGAACGUACCCUAGAGUGGGGGAUAACGUAGCGAAAGUUACGCUAAUACCGCAUACGAUCUAAGGAUGAAAGUGGGGGAUCGCAAGACCUCAUGCUCGUGGAGCGGCCGAUAUCUGAUUAGCUAGUUGGUAGGGUAAAAGCCUACCAAGGCAUCGAUCAGUAGCUGGUCUGAGAGGACGACCAGCCACACUGGAACUGAGACACGGUCCAGACUCCUACGGGAGGCAGCAGUGGGGAAUUUUGGACAAUGGGCGAAAGCCUGAUCCAGCAAUGCCGCGUGAGUGAAGAAGGCCUUCGGGUUGUAAAGCUCUUUUGUCAGGGAAGAAACGGUGAGAGCUAAUAUCUCUUGCUAAUGACGGUACCUGAAGAAUAAGCACCGGCUAACUACGUGCCAGCAGCCGCGGUAAUACGUAGGGUGCAAGCGUUAAUCGGAAUUACUGGGCGUAAAGCGUGCGCAGGCGGUUUUGUAAGUCUGAUGUGAAAUCCCCGGGCUCAACCUGGGAAUUGCAUUGGAGACUGCAAGGCUAGAAUCUGGCAGAGGGGGUAGAAUUCCACGUGUAGCAGUGAAAUGCGUAGAAUAUGUGGAGGAACACCGAUGGCGAAGGCAGCCCCCUUGGGUCAAGAUUGACGCUCAUUGCACGGAAAGCGUGGGGAGCAAACAGGGAUUAGAUACCCAUGGUAGUC
RNAcentral lists this ribosomal RNA (766 nucleotides) under uncultured bacterium. RNAcentral describes it as "bacterial SSU rRNA". It matches the Rfam family "Bacterial small subunit ribosomal RNA", at positions 41 to 795 of the family's 1533-position model. The record is from RNAcentral.